ACUCCUGUAGCCCAAUUGGCAGAGGCCGCAAGCUCAAACCUUGUGUGUUGCUGGUUCAAAUCCAGUCAGGAGUACCA
RNAcentral lists this transfer RNA (77 nucleotides) under Microcoleus sp. FACHB-45. Its description in RNAcentral is "tRNA-Leu". It matches the Rfam family "tRNA". From Rfam's summary of the family: Transfer RNA (tRNA) molecules are approximately 80 nucleotides in length. Their secondary structure includes four short double-helical elements and three loops (D, anti-codon, and T loops). Further hydrogen bonds mediate the characteristic L-shaped molecular structure. tRNAs have two regions of fundamental functional importance: the anti-codon, which is responsible for specific mRNA codon recognition, and the 3' end, to which the tRNAs corresponding amino acid is attached (by aminoacyl-tRNA synthetases). tRNAs cope with the degeneracy of the genetic code in two manners: having more than one tRNA (with a specific anti-codon) for a particular amino acid; and 'wobble' base-pairing, i.e. permitting non-standard base-pairing at the 3rd anti-codon position. RNAcentral also lists the same sequence under 3 other names. The record is from RNAcentral. Lineage: Bacteria; Bacillati; Cyanobacteriota; Cyanophyceae; Oscillatoriales; Microcoleaceae.